UAACUAGUCAAAACAAGCAAGACGAAAUUAAAGUAUGUCCCCCCGAAACUAAGCGAGCUACUUCAAAACAGCCCAAGAGCCAACCCGUCUCUGUUGCAAAAGAGUGGGAAGAUUUUCAAGUAGAAGUGAUAAACCUAUCGAGCUUAGAGAUAGCUGGUUAUUUGGGAAAAGAAUAUAAGUUCUACCUCAAGUUUUCUUGUAUAUUACAAUACAUAAUUGAACUUAAGAGCUAUUCAAAUAAGGAACAGCCUAUUUGAUACAGGAUACAACCUGAAAAAUAGGGUAACGCAACAGUAUUAUAAUGAUUAAGUUGGCCUGAAAGCAGCCACCUUUAAAAAAGCGUCAAAGCUUUAUCAUUAAUUAUUAAGAAUCCCAGAUACAAAGCUGAACCCGACAUCACUACCAAAUAACUUCAUUCUGUUAUGAAAAAUAUUAUGUUAGAACUAGUAAUAAGAAUUUGAAAUUCUCUGAAAUAU
RNAcentral lists this ribosomal RNA (476 nucleotides) under Semnodactylus wealii. RNAcentral describes it as "partial 16S ribosomal RNA". It matches the Rfam family "Bacterial large subunit ribosomal RNA", at positions 665 to 1282 of the family's 2925-position model. The record is from RNAcentral. Lineage: Eukaryota; Metazoa; Chordata; Amphibia; Anura; Hyperoliidae.